Molecule: long non-coding RNA, 335 nt
Organism: Melitaea cinxia (Glanville fritillary)
Lineage: Eukaryota; Metazoa; Arthropoda; Insecta; Lepidoptera; Nymphalidae
Exons: 2
Source: RefSeq, a predicted model, not a curated record
UUUUUAGCUGCUCACAAAAUGUAUCCUCACUAUAUAAUUUUCUUCCGCCUGUUAUCCCACGCCCUACUGAUUUUAAAUCUGUGCUAUCCUUUGUACAUACACCAUUUGUUGAUACUUUGUGUAGAGCAACAGUUUCUUUCAAUAUCGGUAAAAAAAAAACUUUUUUCUUUUUAUUUAACUUGUACUUCCACAAUUAUUGAUAAAUAGCAAAGUCAGUCUUGUCAAUGUCCCAACUGAACAACAGACACUCACCGAACAUUGAAGCAUCUACUCUGAUACUGGCAAUUCCGCAAGGGUGCUAAAGCCAAAGAAGAAGAAGAAUUCUCGACAUUUGU